RNAcentral lists this long non-coding RNA (1108 nucleotides) under Danio rerio (zebrafish). RNAcentral's name for it is "lncRNA si:ch211-145d10.5 (ENSDARG00000094086.2)". Lineage: Eukaryota; Metazoa; Chordata; Actinopteri; Cypriniformes; Danionidae. The record is from RNAcentral.
GGAUGGCGGUACUGCACCCUGACACACACUUACACACUCUGGCUACUGCACAUGCGCAGAUCUCAUAAAUGAAUCCGACUUUAAUCAACUUAAUUAAGAUCUAUCAUCAAAUUAAUCGAAUUUUCGGAGGCCGGGGUGGAGUGCAUGAGCCGCGGUCAGACAGUCACCAAUCACCGUGCGGCUAAAUGGAUCGACGGAGGAUAAAACCAUUAAAAGAUGCGGAGAAACACAUCACCAGCUCCACCGACAAGACCCAUUCACUGGAAACCGAAUAUAUAGAAGGUUACUAAGUUUUGCAGCAUUGAUGCCGAUCAUGAGGACGAGACCCUCGGCCGGCUGGUGAAUGAUGACCAUCUGCACCCUAACUGCACUGUCAAUAAGAUCGUUGUUCAGAGAAAACCUCAUUUGUGCCUUUUUGCAAUCAGGGAUACUUUCUUUGGAGAGGAAAUAACGUUUGACUAUGGCGCAUGUGAUUGGCCUUGGAGAAAGCUUUCAUUGAAGGAUGCCCAUAUGACUGCAGAAGAGAACUGCUUCGACAACUCUCUGAUGAGCUUUUAUUGAAGUAUGACCAAAUGACGAGAAGAAGAGAACUGCUCUGCUCCAGUAGGAGACCCACAACCCUCUGAUGAGCUUAUAUUGAAAGUUGACCAUAUGACAGAGGAAGAGAACUGCUCUGCUCCAGUACGUGACCCACAAAUCUCUGAUGAGAGAAAGUUACAGUGGAUCUUGAUUUUGGAGGAGGUGAAGUCCAAUCUAAAAGAGUCCCCUCAAGUAUCAUCACCAUGGUACAGUGUCUGUGAAGAUAGUGAAGCAGACCCAGCAUUCACAAAAAAGAGAGGUCCCAUAAAGAGAAGAUCCUGGAGCAAACAGGAAGUACAUGCUGUGGUGAAAGCUGAACCAUUGGCUCUAAAAACCAGAGAUUGGUCAGCUUUGGAUUUUUAUAUUAAAAACUGAAUCUCGGCUCUGAAUAACACUUUCAUAGUAACUGCACACUAUACAUCAUUAGUUUAGCACUAACUCUACAGUAAUAGACUUUAGGAAGCAGUUUAUAAAUACAGCUUCAAACGCUGUAUUCUUGACUUGACUAAAUUGUAUUUUCAUGCUUUGU